UCUUUUUCAUAUGUUAUCCUAAAAAAAAUGAAUAUAUUCUGUUACAUUUUGCUAACCUGUAGGCAAGGUACAAAAGAGAAUACUUGAAAUCACACUCCAGUGCCUAGGGCACUGUGCACUUCUCUGGAAAACUUCUAGUCUUAUAACCAUUGUAGCAAAAUAUGUUCAGUGCUCCCUGUCAUUUAUUAACAUAUUCUUGUCUUUAUGAAACUGCCUAAGUUCAAACAAGUUUUAGCUCAGCUGUCAAUAAAAAAAAAAAUAGUUCUCUGGAUUAGACAGUUUUAUUUUAAAAGAGGCAUGGAUCCUUUAACUUUGGAAUUAUUCCCAAAAAACUGAAAGAAAAUUCUGCUAUCAGACUACCAGAAAGCAAUUAUGUUAAAAAACUCUUGUCAUAAAAUAAUAAGACAAUCAUAAAUUCUGUUCCUACAUAAUCAUCACUAUCAUCAUCAUCUACCUUUAAGGUUUUAUGGCACUAACAUUCUUCUCACUAAUCUACCUAAAAACCUGACCUCACAGAUCUCAACUCUUACAUAUUUAACAAACAGGAGCUGAUGGAUCAACUGGGUAAAUCAAUAGAUCGGAAGUAAAUACCGAAGUCAAGUGUCCUCCAAAGAAAUUUUCCUGCUACCAGCCCCAGAUGGCGAUAUGAGAAAGUUUGUAAAAGUAACAACAUGGUAAAUAGAAUUUGGAAAUGAUCCUCUAUCCUGAAGUGCUAAAAAAGGAUCCCUCCAUGAUUUCCUGAAUGUUUCUGUCGUCAAGGUGUAGAAAUUACUUAUGAGAGAGGAACUGAGAGGAAGAAAACACCAGAGUGCUGCUGUUACUGCUGGUGCUAUACCUGAUCCUGAACAGUAGAAACCGUGGUGACUGUGUAUCCUCUUAAAGUUGCUAUGUAAGAGUGAACCUGGUGAAUGGCUUCAAAUCAAGGGUUUUACUCUCAAGCUUUGGAAAAGCAUAUGACCAUCACUGAGGAAGGCAUUCCUAUGGUCCCAGCAUCACAGAGAGUGCCUGACUGGUUGAAGGGGACUUGUGAUCAUCUAGUCUAAUCCCCACCCUGGUCAAGCAGUGUCAGCUACAGCUGGUUGCCCAGGGCUAUGUCCAGUUGUGUUUCGGAUAUCUACAAAGUUGGAGACACCAUGACCUCUGUGAGUAACCUGUGGCAGUGUUUGACGAUCUU
Molecule: long non-coding RNA, 1174 nt
Filed under: Falco tinnunculus (common kestrel)
Lineage: Eukaryota; Metazoa; Chordata; Aves; Falconiformes; Falconidae
Description: lncRNA (ENSFTIG00000015578.1)
Source: RNAcentral